RNAcentral lists this ribosomal RNA (135 nucleotides) under uncultured bacterium. RNAcentral describes it as "partial 16S ribosomal RNA". It matches the Rfam family "Bacterial small subunit ribosomal RNA", at positions 355 to 507 of the family's 1533-position model. The record is from RNAcentral.
UGGGGAAUAUUGGACAAUGGGCGCAAGCCUGAUCCAGCCAUGCCGCGUGAGUGAUGAAGGCCUUAGGGUUGUAAAGCUCUUUUGUCCGAGACGAUAAUGACGGUACCGGAAGAAUAAGCCCCGGCUAACUUCGUG